UCUGCAGAUGUGCAAGAUCAUUGAUUCUUUUCCCGCGGGUGCAGACGUCGUCGAAAAAGCUUUCGCAGCGGCGAGUCUGUACUACAAUUACACAGGCGACCAGAAAUGCUUCCAGGUAGAGGGUGGGGAUGACCCCCAUGGCCUCAGCGGCUGGGGCUGGCAGGCUUGCACAGAGAUGGUCAUGCCAAUGACGGUGUCGAAUGAGAGCAUGUUUCCGCCAUCCGGCUUCAGCUACGAAGAGAAGUCCGAGGGCUGCUUUGC
Molecule: ribosomal RNA, 261 nt
Filed under: Triticum aestivum (bread wheat)
Lineage: Eukaryota; Viridiplantae; Streptophyta; Magnoliopsida; Poales; Poaceae
Description: partial small subunit ribosomal RNA
Source: RNAcentral